This is a non-coding RNA of Schistosoma rodhaini, 45 nucleotides long. The record is from Rfam. NCBI's taxonomy places the organism in Eukaryota, Metazoa, Platyhelminthes, Trematoda, Strigeidida, Schistosomatidae.
AUCAAGCUGACGAGUCCCAAACAAAACAAAACGAGCGUCCUGGAU